AACUUUCGGCAAUGGAUCUCUUGGUUCUGGCAUCGAUGAAGAACGCAGCGAAAUGCGAUAAGUAAUGUGAAUUGCAGAAUUCAGUGAAUCCUCGAAUCUUUGAACGCACAUUGCGCCCCUUGGUAUUUCGGGGGGCAUGCCUGUUCGAGCGUCAUUUCAACCCUCAAGCUCUGCUUGGUAUUGAGCCCCGCCAGCGAUGGCGGGCUCUAAAAUCAGUGGCGGGGCUGCUGGGCCCUGAGCGUAGUAAUUCGCUCGCUACAGGUGCCUGGUGUGCGUCUGCAAACAACCCCGUAUUUUUCUAUGGUUGACCUCGGAUCAGGUAGGGAUACCCGCUGAACUUAAGCAUAUCAAUAAGCGGAGGCU
Molecule: unclassified non-coding RNA, 363 nt
Filed under: uncultured Ascomycota
Lineage: Eukaryota; Fungi; Ascomycota
Description: sequence contains ITS2
Rfam family: 5.8S ribosomal RNA (bases 1-154)
Source: RNAcentral